RNAcentral lists this ribosomal RNA (285 nucleotides) under uncultured bacterium. RNAcentral's name for it is "partial 16S ribosomal RNA". It matches the Rfam family "Bacterial small subunit ribosomal RNA", at positions 773 to 1060 of the family's 1533-position model. The record is from RNAcentral.
GUGGAUUAGAUACCCUAGUAGUCCACGCCCUAAACGAUGUAUGCUUGGUGUUGGCCUAGUAAUAGGUCAGUGCCGGAGGAAACCCAUUAAGCAUACCACCUGGGGAGUACGAUCGCAAGGUUGAAACUCAAAGGAAUUGACGGGGGCCGCACAAGCGGUGGAUCAUGUGGUUUAAUUCGAUGCAACGCGAAGAACCUUACCCGGGCUCGAAGUGCAGUAGACAGACCCUGAAAGGGGUUUUUCCUUCGGGACUAUUGCAGAGGUGCUGCACGGCCGUCGCCAGCU